UUGCCAACGAGACUGACUGUUUCAAUCUAAUACGGUAAGUCUUAAAACGCAAUAUCAAUGACCAUCCACACACACAAAGAACAUGGCGGUAAGUCUACAAUUGUUUAUUACUUAUAACUACUGUGUAUGAUGCGGCAAUUUGUUUACAAAAACCGGCCGGGUCAGAAAUAGCUGACGGCUUGGUGGGGGGAGGAGUUAACACGGCACCGCCCUUUGCUCCAGGCUGGCGCUCACCCGUGUCUCUCUCGAUAUCAGCCGUCCAGCUAUUAAUAUGACAAUCGGUUGUCUCCCCGCCAUUGACAACGAGAUAAGGCCGCCGCCGAAUAUGUAUUACAGAUAUUGCGGUCUGUUCCGUUUCCGACGUCCACCUUAACGGUUUGAUCAUUUUAUGUGCUUUUUCCACUGAAUUCUAUUGUGUGACUCAAUUUUAUUCUUUUUUGACGUGUUAACUAAAUAGAUAUAUACCUAUACAUAGCCGUGAGCAUACGUGACGGCAGUAGACAAAAAGUCUACAAGUGUGUCUAAGAUGACAUAGUCUUUACUAAGCUGGCUAUUGCGUUUUUAUUUUUUUUUGUGCGUGUCACCUAGGUCCGUUUUCCGUUCGUUAUGAAACUAUUUUUAAUUAUACAACUUGUGCGUCUGUACUCUUACUGGAUUACAAAAUAAAACCUAAAGUAUUUAUCCUCCUCUACACCGUGGAACGUGGAUUGCCGUCAAGGUAUAUCAGCCUUAUUUUCAUAAAAAUCUCACAAAAUAUGUUUAUAAUUAAGUGAAAAAAAGUAGAAGAAUUGUUCAAUAUUAACAACACUAGCAGCAGGUUACGAUAAUAACAAAAACUAUGUAAUAGUUCACAUUUGUUGAAAAGGGCAAACACUUUUGAUGAAUAUGAGCCCUCGAAGAGGUGUAAAUAUUCAAGCUGCGUAGAGUUUCACUCUAAUAAAUACGGGCCAGAAAAUAGAGUAGUGUUGAAGAUAAGGGCUACAUCUUCAAUAUCUGAUUCAGACGACGAAUCGAAAAAUACAGAAGAUUCAGAAACUGACUAUGAUUGCAACGGACUUUUCCCUAACACAGCACGGCCUACUGAAACACGUGAUUGUAUGUUUACGAAGAAAAGUUCAAACGCUCACGACACAUGCAAAUCGUUGAAGAGACUCGAAUACUCGAGUAGUGUUAAGAUUUACGUAGCUCAUUCUGAUGAAUUGGAAGACAGAAUAGUGUUAAAAAUGUCAAAAAUAUUCAAAACAAAACUAAAAUAUUAGACAUAACUCUAACUCAAUUAAUUUAGAUCAAAUUUUGAUGGUGGUUCGAUUAAAACUGGAUAUUCUGUAAUAAUGUAAACAAAAUUGUUAUAAAUAAUAAAUUUCAAAACUUCAUAAAGUAAUUAAAAUUGUCAAUUACAAUCAAUACAAUAAAUUUUUUAAAUAUGAAAAAUGCUUCAAGAUAUAUAUCAAACCUUUAUUGCAUAAAGGUCCAGUGUAUCCAGCCGCACAGGAAAUUCCAUUACUAUUUGUGCAGAACAUGUGUUUACAAAAAGUCAUCUUUUGUGAACACCUAGUAGGAAAAUGAGCUCCAUAUUUAUUUUUACUG
Long non-coding RNA from Daktulosphaira vitifoliae (grape phylloxera), 1587 nucleotides. RefSeq lists it as uncharacterized. The transcript is spliced from 6 exons. Lineage: Eukaryota; Metazoa; Arthropoda; Insecta; Hemiptera; Phylloxeridae. The record is from RefSeq and is a predicted model, not a curated record.